CCUACGGGAGGCAGCAGUGAGGAAUAUUGGUCAAUGGACGAGAGUCUGAACCAGCCAAGUAGCGUGAAGGAUGACUGCCCUCUGGGUUGUAAACUUCUUUUAUAAAGGAGUACAACCAGGCACGUGUGCCUUUUUGCAUGGACUUUAUGAAUAAGGAUAGGCUAACGCCGUGCCAGCAGCCGCGGUAAUACGGAGGGUCCGAGCGUUAUCCGGAUUUAGUGGGUUUAAAGGGAUCGUAGAUGGGGUGUUAAGUCAGUUGUGAAAGUUUGCGGCUCAACCGUAAAAUUGCAAUUGAUACUGGCAGUCUGGAGUACAGUUGAGGUAGGCGGAAUUCGUGGUGUAGCGGUGAAAUGCUUAGAUAUCACGAAGAACCCCGAUGGCGAAGGCAGCUUACUAAACUGUGACUGACAUUGAUGCUCGAAAGUGUGGGUAUCAAACAGGAUUAGAUACCCCUGUAGUC
This 460-nucleotide ribosomal RNA is filed under the name uncultured bacterium. RNAcentral's name for it is "partial 16S ribosomal RNA". It matches the Rfam family "Bacterial small subunit ribosomal RNA", at positions 338 to 795 of the family's 1533-position model. The record is from RNAcentral.